This 2132-nucleotide long non-coding RNA is filed under the name Mus musculus (house mouse). Its description in RNAcentral is "long non-coding RNA chr18:57953225-57955357". The record is from RNAcentral. Lineage: Eukaryota; Metazoa; Chordata; Mammalia; Rodentia; Muridae.
GUUUCUCUGUGUAGCCCUGGCUGUCCUGGAACUCACUUUGUAGACCAGGCUGGCCUCGAACUGAGAAAGCCACCUGCCUCUGCCUCCCAAGUGCUGGGAUUAAAGGCGUGCACCACUACUGCCUGGCGAUUUCUCAUUUUCUGAUGUAGGCAGUUAGUGCUAGAACUUGCCUUCACUCUGUCCCAUUGGUUUUCUGUGUUUUCAUUUUCAUCCAAUUCUAAAGUGUUUUUAACUUUCUUCUUGACUUCUGUCUUGACCCAGUUUUCAUUUUACAAAGACUUGUUGAGCUUCCAUGAGUUUCUAUACUUUAUAUAGCUUGAUUGUUAUUGAUAUCCAGCUUUAAUCCACGGUGGUCAGAUAGGUUUCAGGACGUUAUGCCAGUUCUCUUACAUCUGUUGAAAGUUGUUUUAUGUCCUAAUAUGUGUUCAAUUCCAUGAGUUGCUGAGGAGAAAGUAUAUUCUUUGGUGUUUGGUGGAAUGUUCUGUGGAUAACUUUAGGUCCAUUUGACUUAUGGUUUUUUUAACUCCAUCAUUUACCUGUCUAUUGGUAAGUGUGGGGUAUUGAAGUCAUCCACUAUCGCUAUAUGAGGAUCAAUUAGUGCUUUUAGCUGUAGUAGUCUUUCUUUUAUGAACUUUGGUCAGGAAGGAUACUGUAAACCAUCACUUGCCCCCCCCCCCCCAGCCAAGCAUCUGUACUAAGGAGGUGCCUGGUAGGAAGUGUUCCUGGGGUUUAGUGGGUGAAAUGAAGAAACGGAGAUAGGAUGGAAGGGAAGGCUGAGAGAGGCAGCCAGAAAGAGCUCAUGGGCCCCUGAAUCUUGGUGGAAUCACAGCCCAGCCGGAAACGAAACUGAUUUCUGUUCAGUCUACAAUUACUCCGCUUAAACCAUGAAUACUCUUCGAGUUCCUAAAAUGCUCUGCUAAGAUAUUUAGAAGAUGAUAAGGAUGAUUUAGGAACGGGGAAGGACACCCAUGACAGUAGGACAGAAAGCCACACUCACCCCAAGAAGCACAUAGAGUCAACGGUUUGCCUUUUCUUUGAAAUUUAAGCGUUUACAACUACAUCUCCCUCUGCAAAAUAGAGAAUUGUAAACAAUGGAGGUCCUUUCAUUCCCUGAUUUGGUUUGUAAGGUAGACUGAUCCAAUCAGCAUCUCCUGUGAGCUACGUGAUCCCAGGCUCAGCACGACAGCCUACAAGAUGCCCGUGGCCUGCUUCCUGGGUGCGCCCAUGGAGGUCAUCUUUGUUUAUGUUCUCACACCUGGGAUUUUAGUAUUAUUGACAUAAACUUCGCAGUUGAUCCCCACCCAGCCCAGUAAACACACAGCACAGGUGUGUUAUAUAUCCAAACACUGAUGCCAACAGAGUUUCUCAAGCUUACAUCAGAAUUUACCAGUAAAGAUUACUUACUCUGCUUGCCUGGCAUGGGCAAAGUUGUUUAUGCUCAUAGCCACACAUAACCAUACUUUAUUCCUGGUGCAUCACAGGUAUCUAAAAUGAAGGUCUACACAUCAUUCCUUCAUAGAACUCUUCCCCUCCUCUAUGUGGAGUCAUUUCAUUAGUUUUUCUAUGGAUAUAUACAUUUCUAGUAUCCUCCUCACAAUUCUUUCCUUGUUCAUAUUCUGGUCCUGGAUCAAAAUAAAAUCCUAGGCAUCACAGGUGUUGAUUACAUUAUUUUGAUUUCUUAUAGAGUUAUCUAGUUUCCAUUACACUAAAACCAUACAAAACAGUGUGCUGAAUCGCCUAUUUAUGUCAUUUGUACCAUGACUUGAUAUUUUGUUUAUGUCUUAGAAGAACUUUUAGUUUUGUUAAUAAUCUGGAAGAAUUUCCCUUAGCUUUGGAUGCUAAAAAGUUUCGGUUUUCCUUGGACAUAAAGGAAUUAGAUUUUGUGCUUCUGUCUGCACUAGCACUGGGAAAGCUCAGAUCUGAAAACUGUGUGAGGUUAUUAAUAAUUGCACAUCACAAAUGAGCAUAUCACUACUGUCCUUUGAUUUUGACUUUAACUAUGUUUGUUGUGAUAUAUAAUAAAAAUAGAAAUAAUAAAAAAAAUAAAAGUACACCUGCAAACUCUCGAACAACAAGAGCAGAUAUUUGGGUAUUAUUAAACAAAGUGGAAAAAUAACUUCUGUAGGUCAGCC